UUGAUAAGCCUCACCUACUGACCGCCC
This 27-nucleotide non-coding RNA is filed under the name Mus musculus (house mouse). Lineage: Eukaryota; Metazoa; Chordata; Mammalia; Rodentia; Muridae. The record is from RNAcentral.